UGUGCUGGAAGGAUAAAACUUGUGGUGAGGCAGUUCCCCACAUCACCCAGCGUGUGGGCAAAGAAUGAGAGAGUGUCAACUUCAGAAGGUAGCUGAGAAAAGAGCCUACGAAUGUCCAAAGCACAGCAAUCUCUUAAGUAGCCCAGCAUGGGUCUUUAAAUCUGGAGGAAAAAGGCCUGUGUGUUUACACUGGUGAACAGACGUCUAAGGAUUUACGAAAUCUGAAAUUAAAGACAAAAACUCUGUGGCUGCGAAUUUGUGGAAAGAAAGCUGCUUCCUUAUUGGGACCGAGUUGGUGAUGUGGGUGCCUGGAGCAUCAUCCCGUGGAGCGUAAGUGAACAAUUCACUUUGGAUUACCGUGUUUCUUCAGAUCCACUUCUACUCUCCAGUUAUUUCUGUUGAUGAGCCAGAGGCUUGAAACUGUCCUUUCCCUGCUCAAUGGCUGAUCUGUACUUUUUGCCCAAAGCAAGCACCCCAAUGAAUGAGGAACCAAUGAAUUCCAGCAACAUAAAUGAUUACUUUGGGUUAACUGAUAUGGAAUAUUCAGUGGAUGGUGAGACCUCUCCAUGUUCCUUGGGGGAGGUCAGAAAAUUCUCCAGUUUAUUUGUGCCAAUUGCUUACGCCUUGAUAUGCAUCUUUGGCCUACUGGGAAAUAUUUUAGUGGUGAUCACCUUUGCUUUUUAUAAGAAAGCCAAGUCGAUGACAGAUGUUUAUCUCUUGAACAUGGCCAUUGCGGACAUACUGUUUGUCCUUACCCUCCCGUUCUGGGCAGUGAAUCACGCUAGCGGAGCGUGGUAUUUUAGUAAUGUCAUGUGCAAACUGACCAAAGGCAUCUAUGCCAUCAACUUUAACUGUGGAAUGCUGCUCUUGACCUGUAUCAGCCUGGACCGGUAUAUUGCUAUUGUACAGGCAACCAAGUCUUUCAGGCUCCGAUCCAAAACGUUAGCACACAAUAAGGUCAUCUGUUUUGCAGUGUGGGUGGUAUCCAUCAUCAUUUCCAGCUCCACGUUCAUCUUCAGUCAGAAGUACAGUAUGCAAGGUGUCGAUGUCUGUGAACCCAAGUACCACAAUGUCUUGGAGCCCAUCAAAUGGAAAUUGCUGAUGUUGGUGCUCCAGCUGAUCUUUGGUUUCUUCAUCCCGCUGAUGUUCAUGAUAUUCUGCUACACAUUUAUUGUCAAAACCUUAGUGCAAGCCCAGAACUCCAAAAGGCACAAGGCCAUCCGUGUGAUUAUAGCAGUUGUUCUGGUGUUUCUGGUUUGCCAGACCCCCCAUAACAUGGUACUUCUUGUGACCGCUGUAACUAUGGGCAGGACGGACAGAGCCUGCAGUAGUGAGAAGCUGAUUGGCUACACCAAAACUAUCACCGAGGUCUUGGCUUUUCUGCACUGCUGCCUCAACCCGGUGCUGUAUGCCUUCAUUGGCCAGAAGUUCAGAAACUACUUCCUGAAGAUCAUGAAGGACCUGUGGUGCGUGAGGAGAAAGCACCAGUCCACCGGCUUCUCCUGUUCCAGGAUGUACUCAGAAAGCGCCGUCUCCAAACAGACCAGCGAGACAGUGGACAAUGAGAACGCGUCGUCCUUCACCAUGUGAUGUGCUGUGCAGAACGAAGCAUUCCCUUCUGUGGGUUGUGAAGCCUGUUAUUAGAUGUUAUGCAAAAAAUAGUCCAUAGCCAAAUACAUAUGAGAAAUGUGGAAAUUCAACAAAACUAAGCAGAUGUUUCUACUGCAGGACCAGAGACGGAGUGUGGCGUGCUAAAGGGCAGGAGGGGUCUCUGCAUGGCGAGGCGUGGGAGGGCUCCACCAUGUAGGGUUUCCCAAAUUUACUUAAAAAAGAAUGCUUUGUUGCUCUGGUGGAUCUUACAGGGCUGGUGUUCCACAAAACAGGCUUUGGGAAAUGCUGAACUAAAAUGAAUUAUUUACAAAUUUGAAGUUUUAGAAUUACUCAUGAAGCGGCCAUUGUCCACAAUUACUUGUGGCCCUGGCACAAAACAACAAUAUGGUUUGACAAACCCGAACAGGAAAACAAACACAAAAUCCUUCACCUAACUCAAUUUUGAAAAAAAGUUGAAUGUUUUUGCUCAUGAAAAUGUUUACCAUGGCCAAAUAUAAAUGAUGAAACAGACUGGCUUGAGUCUCUCUCAUUUUCCUUUGAUACACUCAGCAAGCGUGAGAUCGUGAAAAGGCAGAAGGAAAACAAGCUCAAGGACUCACAGUGUACAAACGGUGGCUGCAUUCGUCACUGUGGAUACAGCAGUUCAGGCUGUGACGGCCUUCAGAAGAAGUAUAAACAUGUUUGUACUUCCCGGAGAAACUGUUCUCUGUAAGUGGUGACUCGCCCGUAAACGUCUGUUGGACAAAGAGUUCUAUCAAGGCAGGAACUACAGCGGUUUUGUCCACAGCUGUGUCCCAGGUGUCUAGCAGAGUUUUGGGCAUACAGAAGAAGCUUAAGGAAUAUUUAGCGAAUCAUAACAAAAUUGGAGUUUUUAGUGCAGUGUGAAGUGUUAGGUGUUUUUAUUUUAUUUUGUAUAAAUAGAAUAGUUUCUAAAAGAAGAAGAAUGAAGCUUUCUUGGGACCCUAUAGAAAGAACUCAGGCUUCAUUCUCAUUAUAGAGCUGGGGAACCAUGAGGAGCUGAGGAUUUUUGGUCGUUAAGGGGUUUCCAGCUUGUGUAUAGCUAGAAAAAUUUCAACUUCUGAUAUUGAUUUUAAAGUGGCAUCACCCAAUGUUUGAGGUCAGCUAUGAAAUCACAUUUUAACAACUCUCUUCAGCUCCACAGAACUCAAGUAUUUUUAAAGUGCUGUGUAAAUACACGAACCCAGGUGGGAAAAUAUCCACGUGUGUUACAAAAACACAAACACGUAUCACAAAAGUACUGACAUGUUUCAUUCUGACGAAUGUGCUAUCUGAGGCUCGAUGUUGUUUUUGUAAUCUUACCUCCGUCCCCAUGUAAAACUCCAAAUUUUGCCCUGAGAUUCAAAGUCUGUGUUUUUCAGAAAUAAAGCUACUCUAUGUGUGGAGAAGGAGUCAGCUUGAAUUCAGCGCUCAGACCGAGGGGAUCACUGCCCUGAGUGGGGCGUUGGGGGGGCCUCCCUUCGUCCUCACAGGCCUGUCAGCAUUCGGCUGUGGGGUCAGCGAGGGGACUCCCAGACCCUCCCAGUGUGUCCGAGUGCACUGACGGGAUCUGUCAAAAACGUUUUCUGUUUGAAGAUCGGCCCAGAAACAUCUCGCUUACUUGGCACGGGAGGGGACUGAGUUACAGGGAAUGAAACCUGCGAGAGCCGGAACUCUAUGGGCCGUGCUUUUCCGGCUCUCGCAGGUUUCCCGCCUUUGGCAGGGUGCACGCUGACCAUAUUUCUAUUGCUCCUUUUAGUGGGAAAUAUUUGCGUUUUCCUUCUCUGACAAGUUUCCGCCUUACACAGCUUCCGCCUUUCGCGUGUUUUACUGUAUUAUGUGUGAUUUAAAUUUUCAGAUCCAUGAAGCAUGUUCUUUAAGCGCUAGCCCUUUAAAGAUGUCGACCUUAGUGAAUAAAGAUGUUUCUAAAAUGUACGGCAUUCUUUCUUCUUAGAUACAGGACGCUGGGCGGCCCCGUCUUGUCGUGCUCCUCGGGGACUCGGAACAGGUGCAAUGCUACCUGCUUGGUGCUGGCCCCUCCAGAGACACUGGGCAGGGUGGGCGCAUGUGGCUUGCCGGUGGGAGCUGGGACCCCCGUUUUGCCCGUGCAUUUGUGUAAACAGGCCAUCCGUGAGCUGGGAAUCAGGGGGCCUCUGCUGCCCCAUUUUCCAAGCACCUAGGACACCCCAUCUGCUUCCUGAACGCUGCAGGAAGGGUGGGGCUUUACGUUUCCUUGUACGUGCUUUGAACGUCACCGUCCCCACAAAGGGUAAUUCCUCUGAUGGGCUCUGAAGCCUGCUGGUUGCUGUAUGGCGGGCACUGCCGCUAGCUUCAGGGACUGGAGGGACACGGAGGAGGCCUCAUGUGGGUAAAGAUCACCCUCGGGUAAAGGAGGGGAGAGCUCACUCUCCACACUCUGGGAUUCAACCUGCACACCUGUAACGUCUGUUGCAAGCUGCCAGAUGGCAUUCACACUUUCCUCCUUGAGUUGCACUUACUAAUAGAUGUAUGUAUAUAUAUUGACGUCCUAUUUAGGUAAAUCCAUAAGAGAGAUAAAGACAAAAAUCUGUCUUUUCUAACUUUUGGUUUAUUUCUCUCACACAUUAGAGUCCAGGUAGACAGUCCAGGACAAUAAACAGAAUGCUGUUCUCCUUAACUCCUGGCCCAAAGGGGCUGCUCUGGCUCUCUCCAUCACACAUGCAUCCAGCCAACAGAAAGAGAAAAACAGGGGAAGCAGACGACCUUUUCCUUCUCUCUAAGGGCACAGCUUGAAAGCUGUGGACACCAUUCCUGCUCUCAUCCCAUUGGUCUGAAAUUAGUCAUAUUGUCACAGUAGGUGCAAGACAAAAUGGGAGAUGUUGGCUUCAGCUGGGUGGCCAUGUGACCACAUUAAAAUCUUUUACUAUGGAGGAAGGGAAAAUGGCUGUCAGGAAAACAAACCUCAGUGGAAGGAAGAGCAACCAUACUACUCGCUUGAAAGAAGAGGGAAGCCACAAAUUCAACCACUAAAACCAGUGGAUAUCAAGUCGAUUCCGACUCGUGGUGACCCUGAGUGUCAAACUACAGCUGUGCUCCACAGGGUUUUUAACAGCUAAUUUUUCGGAAUGAGAUUGCCUGAACUUCCUUCUGAGGUACCUCUGGGUCUACUUGAACCUCCAACCUAUCAGUUAGCAGCUGAGCGCAUUAACUGCUUGAGCCACCCAGGGACUCCAUAAAUUGUAAAUAGGUACUUAAAGCUGCAGGAAAGGAAAAAAGAGCCCAACUAGCUAACGGUUUCAGGAAAGUGACCUAAGAAGAGCCGGGCGCUGAUAGGGACGAGAGCCUAGCUGAUGCAGGCGAGGAGAAAGGGCUCCGCACGGAGGUGCUGCCCGCGACCCCCCGGGUGGCUCCUACGAGCAGAGGCCUUUCAUGCCAUAUUUCACCAGCGACCACCCCAGAACCUGAAACUGCACAUCUAAACUUUCAGAGCAAGAAUACUAGUAAAAAUAGCUUUGUUUUCUGCCUCAUUUUGAAAGAUUUACUGUAUUCUUUAAUUGUUAAUGACAUUUGAGGCCCCUUUUCUGACCCUACAGUGUAAAUAGAUGAAUGAGUACAUGUCUUCCCACUAGUAGCGAGCAAAUGCAUUUAUGAUCUGUUGCAAGGUGGUUGAGACUUCCUUACUUCACCCAAGGCCUGGGGGUGGGGGAUUACGGUGAUCUGUAGGCGCUUCCGGUUUACUUUAGCGAUGAGCACCGCUGCCCUCUAGUGGACCCAAGCUGCACUCACAGGUCACAGAAACAGCCUCUCCUGAGGCCAAAAUGCUAAAUGAGGAGAAAAAUUUUGAAGUUCGUUUUAAAACCCAAAUGUAUGAUAUUAAUAUAGGAUAUUAUACCCAGUCUUUUUUUAAAGGGGAUGAAGUCCUUAGAAAUAUUAACUUGAAUAGUCUGACUGCAAUAUUGCUGCUGUUCAAUUUUUUCUUAUUGUUGAAAUGGACUCGACAGCAACAGAUCUGGCUUAGUUUCGGUUUAAUAUUCAUAUCAAAGUAGAAAGGAUCCUGACUUAUUUUAUUAUUAUUAUUGUUACCAUUGUUUUGCUAUGUGACUACCUAGAUUUUGCUCAUUUGUUGUUAUUGUAAUUGUUUUUGGUCAUAGUCUAUAUGAAUGUGUGUAUGAACGCAUGCAUAUUAGUAUAUAUACAUAUACAUCUCUACAUAUACCCGUAUACAUAUCUUUAGGGUAUGUAUUUUAGCACAAUUUUUUAGGAUAUUAUAACUAACAUAGAAAAGAUUUUAAAAAGGAGAAGAAAUGUAAGUAAUCUCUGCUCACCAGAAUUUAAUUAUAAAAUUUUAAUAUUAAACAAAAACCUCAAUUUUCCAGCUUUCUAAGUUCUGGGCAUAUCAGAAUCUGCUUUGCCCUAAUUGCUAGGACAUCAGAGGAGCAGGAGUGGCAUUUGGGUUGGGGGGCAUCCCCCUGGAAACUCUGCUGCUCCGGCCCACACAGUGGGUCUGGGUGGGGCGGUGGUGGUUCUGCUCCGAGACGCCCAGUCAGCACUAUUUCAUGCUGGAACAGCAGCUUGGCCUCCUGGGUGUCGGGCCUUCUCACAGGGCUGUUGCUCUAUUGCAGAUCUUAUUCCACUGAUGUCCAUCCAGCACCCAAGCACACGACUGAGCACCCUACACAUCGCCCCCCAGUGACCCGGCGUCCUUGCCUCGUUCAGGUUUAUCAGCAGAAAGUGGCAGAUCCGUGAGAGAUUUGUGACUCAGUGCCAUCGAUAGCACCCACCAAAGUCCAAGACUCCCCGUCUUCCCGAGGGCCCAGCUGGACCACGUGCCCCAGCUUUCUGCGGGACAGUGAGGCGGCGUGGCGAGGCUCUGGCCACAAUAUGUGAGUAGAAAUGAAGGGCA
Molecule: RNA transcript, 6490 nt
Organism: Trichechus manatus latirostris (Florida manatee)
Lineage: Eukaryota; Metazoa; Chordata; Mammalia; Sirenia; Trichechidae
Gene: CCR6
Gene name: C-C motif chemokine receptor 6
Exons: 5
Source: RefSeq, a predicted model, not a curated record